GGGAGCGAAGAGGUAUGGAGACAACCACAGGCAGAAAUAUCACCCAUGCUGCACUGUUAAAAGAUCUAUUGUAAGCAGUUUCACUUCCCUUAAAAUUAGGUAUUUGUAAAUGUGCGGCCCACACGAAAGGUCAGGAUACGGUUUCUUAGGGGAACCGUAGAGCUGACAAAGCAGCCAAAGUGGCAGCACAGGGUCAGUAUGGUGAAAGUACAGUUUAUCUAGUGAAAAACAACAUGUAUAUAGACUCAGAGGUGUUACAAGACAUGCAGAAUAGUGCACCUCAGACAGAGAAAAAGGACUGGACUGAUAAUGGAGCUGUAAGAAAUAAUGAUACCAUUUAUGUUGUAAAUGAUAAACCAGUUCUACCAAGAAGUUUGUUUAAAACAGCAGCAAUUUUGAGCCAUGGGCCCUGCCAUGUCUCAACAGGAGGGAUGGUAGAAAUAAUAAACAAACACUUUACAACAUAUGGUUUCACAACUUACUCAAAAAAUUUUUGCAGAGCAUGUACUAUAUGUAUUAAGCAUAAUCCUGAGGGAAAUAUCAGACCUAAGAGGGAAAGAUUUCCUGCACCAGAGUAUCCAUUUCAAUGUGUACACAUGGAUUUUAUAGAACUUAACAGAAGCGGAGAAUAUAAAUACUGUUUAGUAUUAGUGGAUGCUUUUUCUAAAUGGGUUGAAAUAGUGCCAGCAAAAACUGCAGAUGCACUAACUGUAGCUAAAGCACUAUGCAAAACAAUAAUUCCACAACAUGGAAUUCCACAGACAUUAUACAGUGACAACGGACCACAUUUUGUAAAUAAAGUAAUUGAGACUGUGGCCCAGAACAUGCAGAUAAGACUGAAAAAUCAUUGUGCCUACCACCCUCAGAGUGCACGGUUAGUAGAACAAACAAAUGGUACUGUCAAGAAUAGACUAAAGAAGUGUAUGGAACACACAAACAGGCCGUGGCCAGACUGCUUAGAUCUUGUGAAACUUUACAUGAGAAUAACACCAACUGAUAAAGGAUUAACUCCUUUUGAAAUCCUUUAUGGAAGAUCUUUUCGACUGCCACUUGUAAAUAACUCUGUUGCUAUAUCACAUGAAGAGCAUACUUUAUGUGAUUAUAUGUCUAACAUGUUAAAAGAAAAAGAAAUUGUCAAAGCAAAAACACUGCCAGUCUCUGAUUUGUCAUUACAGGAGCAGAAAGUGACGGUUGGAGACUAGGUGCUCAUCAAAGUGAUAAAAAGAAAGACGUGGUCCAGCCCCCGGUGGGAAGGCCCCUAUCAAGUCCUACUGACAACUCCCACGGCUGUGAAAAUAGCAGAACGCCCUUCCUGGAUUCAUCUCAGCCACUGCAAAGUACAGCGCGUGCUUGACGGUUCAACUGAGUAGUGGGGAAGUCUGACUACAAAGGGGAUUCACCUUUUAGUGGUGUUUCGUCUCAAUGUCAGUGAAGCAAUCAAGGAUCCCUACUCAAUAGGAGUCUGAUAGACGUGGACAAUAUGGCAGACGGUGAGGAAGGAUCAAGACAACAAUCCAGGAGGCAGCGUCGGUGUACGGAGGUAUGCUGUGGAUUCAUGCUGGUAGCGCUGAUUCUUUUUGGACUCCUGGUAUGGUGGCUUCUACAGGAUGUUCCUCAACAACGAGAGAGAGAAGCGAGCACCAUGUUGAUGUAAGCCUGGAGACACACGUAACCAACAUGUGGUAUAGAUUGGCCAAUGCCACAGCAAAAGCAUACGACGAGACAGAUUGCUAAGUGUGUUCUUAUGUUCCACAUCAUUCAGACAGUAAUCCAUUCCUGACACUUAUUCCAAUGGGAGAACAUGAACUAGUUUGCCUGAUGAGUUUCCAAGGGCAUAUGCGACAAUGGGUUGGGAAAGCUAACGAGGCUCCAAGGUACUUUUUCAAGAAUACCAACUGUGGUAAAUUCCAAAUACCAAGCUUCGAGACAUGGUUACAUCCAUGUAACUUCUCAGGAAAAACCAACUCCACGUUGACCAGAGGAAUUGUCCCAGCUUGUAAUGACUUACAAACUGCAGCAUGCAUUGCUAGAACCUGCAAAACCGGACAUGACCGAUUCUUAGGAGGAACUACCAAUUGUGAAUGGAUAGACACCUCCUACAAUGCCAAAGAGAAGACGUGUGAAAUCCAAGGUAAAUGGUAUAACACGUACACAAAUGGCUGUCAGCCAGAACCGAAGACAGAGUUUAACAUCACCAGCUCUACAUCAAAGAAGGAACACUUCCUAAGUCUUAUGAUCGGUUCCUUUGUGGAGAUUCCGACAGCAGAGGAGAUGAUGAUUCGUGGAUCAAGCACACCCCCCUCCAUGGUUUGGCUCUGUGGACACAAAAUCUACAGGUUCCUUCUGGACAGAUGGUGUGGAUCCUGUACUCUGUGCAGACUGGCACCUGCAGCUUUUGUCAUACCGGCUAAGAACAUCACCGCCCACCACAGGAGCAGACUACAGAAACAAGAGGUUGAGGAGAAAAAAACCACCUCUCAUAUCUUACUUAAGAGGAACAAUCAUGACCAUCUUUCCACACUAUGGUGUGGCAUUCUUGGGACAUUGCAUGAACGUCCUCUACUGGGACUUGGAUAACCUUACCUCCAUGGUGUUGCAACUAGCAAAAACCUUAGCCAAUGACAAGGAGAAGGCUGCAAUGUGAGCCAUUAUAAUGCAGAAGUGCAUGGCCUUAGACUUACUAUUACCUGAACGAGGAGGGACUUGUGCUGUUGUCGGAGAUCACUGUUGCACUUACCUUAGAACUAUACUGCUAUAGUCCAUGGGUUACAAGAACUGAAGGACCAGUUGAGUACACAAGCCGACCUUGGGACAAUGAUUUUAAUCCCCUUCAGUGGUUCACAACUGGUCCUUGGUGGCAAAUGCUUUUGAAAAUAUUGACCCCAGUAAUUGUGAUUCUAUUACUGUUCUGUCUAUUUACUACUUGUGUGUUACUGUUGAUUCGAUCCAUGAUUAACAAGGCCGUUGCAGGUACAGUAUUGGAAGUAUAUGCCCACAUGCUAACAAUUUCACAGGAAUACAAAGAAUUAAUCCAAGACGAUGAGGACGAAGAUACCAUUGUUUAGACACUUGAGGAUGAGCCUACUGAAAUUGUGUUAAACGGAUGGUAACGCUUUGAUGUAUUUGUGAUCUCAAGAAUGAUAAACAGGAGGGAAAUGUUAGACUUUUGUGCCAUGCAUUGUGCAAGGGACAUGAAAUGCUUAUGUUCCUCAUUGUGUAAGAGUAACAAAACUAUUGCAAAGUUGACAGUUGCAGAAGUUUGCAGAAGUGAAUGACUAUGCAUAAUCAUGAAAUAAAAGAUGCCCUUGUGGAAGAACUGGUCAGAGAGGGCCUGACUGAGAACUCGAGCAGUUCUCCUCAGCCGUUCUUUCCUUGUGCAAGUGAAA
RNAcentral lists this long non-coding RNA (3386 nucleotides) under Xyrichtys novacula (pearly razorfish). Lineage: Eukaryota; Metazoa; Chordata; Actinopteri; Labriformes; Labridae. The record is from RNAcentral.